CACCAUGGGAGUCGUUUGCUCCAGAAAUGCCUGAGCUAACGCCAAACGCAAGAAUGGCGAGGCAGGGUCUCAAGGAGUGAACGGUAACUGGGGUG
RNAcentral lists this ribosomal RNA (95 nucleotides) under uncultured bacterium. Its description in RNAcentral is "partial 16S ribosomal RNA". The record is from RNAcentral.